Molecule: ribosomal RNA, 301 nt
Filed under: uncultured bacterium
Lineage: Bacteria
Description: partial 16S ribosomal RNA
Rfam family: Bacterial small subunit ribosomal RNA
Source: RNAcentral
CAGUAGCCGCGGGAAUACAGAGGCCUCAAGCGUUGUUCGGAUUCAUUGGGCGUAAAGGGUGCGUAGGCGGUCGGGUAAGUCGGAUGUGAAAUCCUGGGGCUCAACCUCAGAACUGCAUUCGAUACUGCUUGGCUAGAGGACUGGAGAGGAGAUCGGAAUUCACGGUGUAGCAGUGAAAUGCGUAGAUAUCGUGAGGAAGACCAGUGGCGAAGGCGGAUCUCUGGACAGUUCCUGACGCUGAUGCACGAAGGCCAGGGGAGCAAACGGGAUUAGAUACCCCAGUAGUCCCUGUCUCUUAUAA